GAUGAACGCUGGCGGCGUGCCUAAUACAUGCAAGUCGAGCGAACAGACGAUGAGCUUGCUCCUCUGACGUUAGCGACUGACGGGUGAGUAACACGUGGAUAACCUACCUAUAAGACUGGGAGAACUUCGGGAAACCGGUUCUAAUACCGGAGAAUAUAUUGUACCGCUUGAUUCAAUAGUGAAAGACGGUUUUGCUGUCACUUAUAGAUGGAGCCGGGGCGGAUUAGCUAGUUGGUAAGGUAACGGCUUACCAAGGCAACGAUGCGUAGCCGACCUGAGAGGGUGAUCGGCCACACUGGAACUGAGACACGGUCCAGACUCCUACGGGAGGCAGCAGUAGGGAAUAUUGCGCAAUGGGCGCAAGCCUGACGGAGCCACGCCGCGUGAGUGAUGAAGGUCUUCGGAUUGUAAAGCUCUGUUAUUAGGGAAGAAAAAAUGUGUAAGUAACUAUGCACGUUUUGACGGUACCUAAUCAGAAAGCAACGGCUAACUACGUG
RNAcentral lists this ribosomal RNA (497 nucleotides) under uncultured bacterium. RNAcentral's name for it is "partial 16S ribosomal RNA". It matches the Rfam family "Bacterial small subunit ribosomal RNA", at positions 28 to 507 of the family's 1533-position model. The record is from RNAcentral.